GAGGAUGAAGGCCUCUGGGCUGUAAACCUCUUUUCAAGGGAAGAAGAACUGACGGUACUUGAGGAAUAAGCCACGGCUAAUUCCGUGCCAGCAGCCGCGGUAAUACGGGAGUGGCAAGCGUUAUCCGGAAUUAUUGGGCGUAAAGCGUCCGCAGGCGGUCUUGAAAGUCUGUUGUUAAAGCGUGGAGCUCAACUCCAUUUCAGCAAUGGAAACUAGAAGACUAGAGUGUGGUAGGGGCAGAGGGAAUUCCCGGUGUAGCGGUGAAAUGCGUAGAUAUCGGGAAGAACACCAGUGGCGAAGGCGCUCUGCUGGGCCAUAACUGACGCUCAUGGACGAAAGCCAGGGGAGCGAAAGGGAUUAGAUACCCCUGUAGUCCUGGCCGUAAACGAUGAACACUAGGUGUCGGGGGAAUCGACCCCCUCGGUGUCGUAGCCAACGCGUUAAGUGUUCCGCCUGGGGAGUACGCACGCAAGUGUGAAACUCAAAGGAAUUGACGGGGGCCCGCACAAGCGGUGGAGUAUGUGGUUUAAUUCGAUGCAACGCGAAGAACCUUACCAGGGUUUGACAUCCUGCGAAUCUUUUGGAAACAGAAGAGUGCCUUCGGGAGCGCAGAGACAGGUGGUGCAUGGCUGUCGUCAGCUCGUGUCGUGAGAUGUUGGGUUAAGUCCCGCAACGAGCGCAACCCACGUCUUUAGUUGCCAGCAUUGAGUUGGGCACUCUAGAGAGACCGCCGGUGAUAAACCGGAGGAAGGUGUGGAUGACGUCAAGUCAUCAUGCCCCUUACAUCCUGGGCUACACACGUACUACAAUGCUACGGACAGAGGGCAGCAAACUCGCGAGAGCUAGCAAAUCCCAUAAACCGUGGCUCAGUUCAGAUCGUAGGCUGCAACUCGCCUACGUGAAGGAGGAAUCGCUAGUAAUCGCAGGUCAGCAUACUGCGGUGAAUACGUUCCCGGGCCUUGUACACACCGCCCGUCACACCAUGGAAGU
Molecule: ribosomal RNA, 990 nt
Filed under: Cyanobium sp. LEGE 06012
Lineage: Bacteria; Bacillati; Cyanobacteriota; Cyanophyceae; Synechococcales; Prochlorococcaceae
Description: bacterial SSU rRNA
Rfam family: Bacterial small subunit ribosomal RNA
Source: RNAcentral